CUCGACGCUCGGUUAUUUAGGGCUCUUUAAUUGGAUCUGGUGUUUAGAGCAAUGAAAAGGGUUCGGGGUUACAAAGGUAUUUGGUGUUUGCUUGGGCAACAGGCCCCCAUUAGAAGAGGUGACCGCAGCAGCAGCAGCAGCAGCAGCAGCAGCAGGAGCGGGAGCAUGAGAAACGGCCAGGGUUAGCGGCAGAUUCGAAACGAAUCGAAAUGGUACGAGUAUAGCCAGACAAACAAAAGGCCAGUGGCGUUCAUUAUCAUUUACCACAAUCCUAGCGACACGACACAACACGACAUGGACAAGGGAAAACUUUCAAAAGAAAAUGGAAACAGCAAGCAGAGGCAGCAGCAGCAGCAGUAAACGGUUAAGGCCGGGCCAGGGCAGGAUAGUCAUGGACUAAGGACCAAGGAGUCUCAGGCUUGGCCAAAGUUUUGGUGUGAAAUUAAAAUUGGAAUUAAAAGCACAAUAAAGGCAGCUUUCCAGCUGGACAUGGACAGG
Molecule: long non-coding RNA, 498 nt
Filed under: Drosophila guanche
Lineage: Eukaryota; Metazoa; Arthropoda; Insecta; Diptera; Drosophilidae
Source: RNAcentral